AUGAGCAGACCCGCGGCACCGGCGGCUCUCCUGCUGAUCAUCCUCAUCAUUGCCUCCGGCGGGGUCGGCUUGGCCGCGCGGCCACUGGCGGGCGGAGGACGCGCCGCAAGGGAGCUCACGGGCGCCACCGACUCGUCGGCGCAGCCGUCCAAUUGCACCUACGGGCACAACACCGGCGGCCAGUGCCCUCCUAGCCCCGCCGCCCACAGUCAGGCUCGCGCGCGGCGCAUGGCAUGCAGAUGCAUGGGUGCACGUGCACGUGCACGUACCUUAUAUCCGUGCCAUGUCACAGGCUUGUAUGCACGUGCACCGAUCGUAAGGAGACCAACCCUCGACAAGACGGCCGUCAUCGGGGUUUGCUCCGGAGCUCAGGUUGCCGGCGACGGACGUAUAUACGGCUCUGCUACUUGGCAUGCAUCGGGAGCGGACCAAGACAAAGCCCAACGUAGGAUUGGGCCUAUGGCAACUGGGGCUAUAGCCAGUACUAUGGUGGUGGUGGAGAUGGCUAUGGUGAUGGAGAUGGCGGUGGCUAGGCUAGGCUAUGGCACCAGCAAGGAGCUGAAGCACAAUGGACAUGGCGAGGUUGCUCAUAUCAUCAAUAGAGCCCUAGAGGUUGCUGAGGUCCGCAUAGGUGGUGUAGCCUCCUUGUUGUGGCUGCUCUUGGGGCUGCUCCUCUUCCUCGUCGGUGACGAGGUCUUCCUCAUCAACUUGUUAGAGCCUUCUUGGUCAAAAGUUGCAUCUCCUUCCUGUGCAACAUAA
Molecule: ribosomal RNA, 759 nt
Filed under: Triticum aestivum (bread wheat)
Lineage: Eukaryota; Viridiplantae; Streptophyta; Magnoliopsida; Poales; Poaceae
Description: partial small subunit ribosomal RNA
Source: RNAcentral